UAGUGGCGGACGGGUGAGUAACGCGUGAGUAACCUGCCCUGGAGAGUGGAAUAACAACGAGAAAUCGUUGCUAAUACCGCAUAAGACCACAGCACCACAUGGUGCAGGGGUCAAAGAUUUAUCGCUCUAGGAUGGACUCGCGUCCCCAUUAGCUAGUUGGUGAGAUAAUAGCCCACCAAGGCAACGAUGGGUAGCCGAGCUGAGAGGCUGAUCGGCCACACUGGGACUGAGACACGGCCCAG
RNAcentral lists this ribosomal RNA (242 nucleotides) under uncultured bacterium. RNAcentral's name for it is "partial 16S ribosomal RNA". It matches the Rfam family "Bacterial small subunit ribosomal RNA", at positions 93 to 334 of the family's 1533-position model. The record is from RNAcentral.